RNA transcript from Phyllostomus hastatus (greater spear-nosed bat), 1298 nucleotides. It is a transcript of the gene named putative MORF4 family-associated protein 1-like protein UPP, with no coding region annotated. The transcript is spliced from 3 exons. The record is from RefSeq and is a predicted model, not a curated record. Lineage: Eukaryota; Metazoa; Chordata; Mammalia; Chiroptera; Phyllostomidae.
GAGUCCAUUUUGGACGCCGCCUCGGCUGCGAAAGUUCAAAGAACCUGUUGCUCGUCACCGUGGCGGUUCCGCCGAGCUCAGCCCCUAGCUCGGCGCUCGCUCUCGGCCGGCUGGCCUCUCGGGCGCUGUGACCCGGCCGCGGCGGCGAGGGGCGGCGGCGGGCGGCGCGAUGCGGCCCGUGGACGCCGACGAGGAGCGGGAGCCCGAGCAGGACUGGGAGAGGGUCCUGAGCCCCGCGCUGCACGCCGUCCGCCGGGACGUCACCGCCCUCGAGCGCGAGCACGUGCGCGCGCACCUGAGGGCCCGCCGGAAGCUGUUGGAGAUCGAGAGCCUGCUGGACGAAAUCAAGAGCGAGGUGGAGGCCUCGGAGGAGAGCGCCCUGGAUCCCGCCCGCAGCCCCGGAGCCGAGGCGGAGAAGCGGGUGAUGAAGCUGUGCGAGAAGGUGGAGAAAAAGGCGGUGGAGGCCGCGCUGAUGGGGAAGCGGAUCGUGGAACUGCACCAGCAGAUUGACAGCUACGGGUGUUACUGAAGGACGCGCGCGGGAGCAGGUUCCCCGCCGCUGGGCUCCGGUCGGCCGGUGAGGAGGACGGACCGCCUGGAGAGGCCAAAACCGCGAGGCGGUCUUUUUCUCCCCCCGUUUUUCUGUCUGCGUUUUCAUCAUGGACUCGAGGUCGGAGUUCUGCAAGAGAGAAGACACGCCUUGGCUGCAGCCGCUGAAGCCAGACCCCAGACCCGAGAGGAGGGCGUGGAGACCCCUUUGGACCCGACUGAGGCGGCCCAGAGGACGGCUGGGCGUGGAGGACGGUGGCGAAUGAAUUUUGGGACUGUGCAGUCCGUCAGGUCGAAGGAAGAAGGCUGUGUUUUUUUUUCUUUUUUUUCAGAACUGUAGUAUUUCUGUGGCACGUUAAUUGGUGCACAUCAUGUAACCUGUCUGGUGAGUAACCUAGGUUAGGGGGCGAGUUCUAGUUACUAUGUGUGUUUGCCGACUUUUUGAUAGAAUACAGCCACGCAUUUCAGGGGCUUCUAUGCCAGAAUGCCCCUGACCUUGCGGGGCCGGGUGGGGGGGGGGAGGGAAGCACGGUGCUGGCGGCUGCAGGGGGACCCCUGGACUGACAGCCAGAGGCCCCUUCGGGCGGAGGGGGUUCCCAGCCCGGCCGGCAGAGCUCAGGCUUGUGAUGAAGUUGAUUUCCCGGGAGAACAGAGGCUGAAAGCCCAGUUCUAGAAUCUUUGUACCAAUGACCAAAGCCGUUGACUUGGCCAGGAAAAAGGUGAGAUAAAUAAAUUUCUUUCAAAAUGGA